RNAcentral lists this ribosomal RNA (253 nucleotides) under uncultured bacterium. Its description in RNAcentral is "partial 16S ribosomal RNA". It matches the Rfam family "Bacterial small subunit ribosomal RNA", at positions 524 to 776 of the family's 1533-position model. The record is from RNAcentral.
UACGUAGGGGGCAAGCGUUGUCCGGAUUUAUUGGGCGUAGAGAGCGUGUAGGCGGCUUUACAGGUCCGUUGUGAAAACUCGAGGCUCAACCUCGAGACGCCGGUGGAAACCGUAAAGCUAGAGUCCGGAAGAGGAGAGUGGAAUUCCUGGUGUAGCGGUGAAAUGCGCAGAUAUCAGGAGGAACACCCGUGGCGAAAGCGGCUCUCUGGGACGGUACUGACGCUGAGACGCGAAAGCGUGGGGAGCAAACAGG